This 400-nucleotide ribosomal RNA is filed under the name uncultured bacterium. RNAcentral describes it as "bacterial SSU rRNA". It matches the Rfam family "Bacterial small subunit ribosomal RNA", at positions 361 to 773 of the family's 1533-position model. The record is from RNAcentral.
AUAUUGCACAAUGGGCGAAAGCCUGAUGCAGCGACGCCGCGUGCGGGAUGACGGCCUACGGGUUGUAAACCGCUUUCAGCUCUGACGAAGCUUUUGUGACGGUAGGAGCAGAAGAAGCUCCGGCUAACUACGUGCCAGCAGCCACGGUAAUACGUAGGGUGCGAGCGUUGUCCGGAAUUAUUGGGCGUAAAGAGCUUGUAGGCGGCUCGUCGCGUCUGCUGUGAAAGCCCGGGGCUUAACCCCGGGUCUGCAGUGGGUACGGGCAGGCUAGAGUAUGGUAGGGGAGACUGGAAUUCCUGGUGUAGCGGUGGAAUGCGCAGAUAUCAGGAGGAACACCGAUGGCGAAGGCAGGUCUCUGGGCCAUAACUGACGCUGAGAAGCGAAAGCGUGGGGAGCGUAC